RNAcentral lists this ribosomal RNA (473 nucleotides) under uncultured bacterium. Its description in RNAcentral is "bacterial SSU rRNA". It matches the Rfam family "Bacterial small subunit ribosomal RNA", at positions 51 to 504 of the family's 1533-position model. The record is from RNAcentral.
AUACAUGCAAGUCGAGCGAAUGGAUUAAGAGCUUGCUCUUAUGAAGUUAGCGGCGGACGGGUGAGUAACACGUGGGUAACCUGCCCAUAAGACUGGGAUAACUCCGGGAAACCGGGGCUAAUACCGGAUAACAUUUUGAACCGCAUGGUUCGAAAUUGAAAGGCGGCUUCGGCUGUCACUUAUGGAUGGACCCGCGUCGCAUUAGCUAGUUGGUGAGGUAACGGCUCACCAAGGCAACGAUGCGUAGCCGACCUGANAGGGUGAUCGGCCACACUGGGACUGANACACGGCCCAGACUCCUACGGGAGGCAGCAGUAGGGAAUCUUCCGCAAUGGACGAAAGUCUGACGGAGCAACGCCGCGUGAGUGAUGAAGGCUUUCGGGUCGUAAAACUCUGUUGUUAGGGAAGAACAAGUGCUAGUUGAAUAANCUGGCACCUUGACGGUACCUAACCANAAAGCCACGGCUANCUAC